RNAcentral lists this ribosomal RNA (468 nucleotides) under uncultured bacterium. RNAcentral describes it as "partial 16S ribosomal RNA". It matches the Rfam family "Bacterial small subunit ribosomal RNA", at positions 28 to 507 of the family's 1533-position model. The record is from RNAcentral.
GACGAACGCUGGCGGCGUGCUUAACACAUGCAAGUCGAACGGAAAGGCCCUGCUGUUGUGGGGUGCUCGAGUGGCGAACGGGUGAGUAACACGUGAGUAACCUGCCCUUGACUUUGGGAUAACUUCAGGAAACUGGGGCUAAUACCGGAUAGGAGCUCCUGCUGCAUGGUGGGGGGUGGAGAGUUUCGGCGGUUGGGGAUGGACUCGCGGCUUAUCAGCUUGUUGGUGGGGUAGUGGCUUACCAAGGCUUUGACGGGUAGCCGGCCUGAGAGGGUGACCGGCCACAUUGGGACUGAGAUACGGCCCAGCCUCCUACGGGAGGCAGCAGUGGGGAAUAUUGCACAAUGGGCGGAAGACUGAUGCAGCAACGCCGCGUGCGGGAUGACGGCCUUCGGGUUGUAAACCGCUUUCGCCUGUGACGAAGCGUGAGUGACGGUAAUGGGUAAAGAAGCACCGGCUAACUACGUG